GGAUAGUCCAGGUCCUUAAUACACACUUUUAUACUCUAGUGAUUAUAGAUUUAUCCAGUGUAAAAAGCAGAUGCAAUCUCAGUUGUAAAAGUGAACCUUUAGAAAAAUCCGUCAGAGAAACAACUCUGGCAGAAUGGAUGGCAAAACUACUAGAAAAUAAGGAUAUUGUUUUGAACAAUAAACUGCCGUAAGACUCUCCAGUCUCUUGCAGGUUGACACCAAGUGUUAUUGACGACACCCACAGCCUGUAAAAUUGCAGAGAGACCCUCCUGGAUACAUCAGAGCCACUGCAAAAGGGUUGAGGUCCCGGGAAGCCCCAUCACUAAGGAGGAAGCACAUUGGGAAGGCCUCACCUACGUUUGGUUGCUUCGGGGGUGAGGGGGGGGUAGUGCGAUUGGGCCCCCGUUGGGUAAGCCUGCACUCCACUCUCUAUCCGAUCAACUUUAGGGCAGCCAGGUGCAGGUGUGAUGGACCAAUGUGCAACAAUGUGAAGGGGAAGCCUCAUGGUUACCUUGACUACAAAAGCUCACCCUUACAUCCAUCCUUGGAUGAAAAAUGCCUGAUACAGACCACAGAGAAAGACUGUUAUGUUAAACACCCUGGAACAAGUGCACAACAUCAUCAACAUCCUGAUCCAGGAAGAAGCCCUGAACUUUAACAAGUUUUAAAGAGACUGUUGAUCAUCAUUGAAUUUUUCUUGAUUUUAUUUUGCUUUUCUUUACUUAUGUUAUUCUUUGUUUAAAGCUGUAAUUUCACAGAUGAUAAGUUUAUCAUUCACAGCAUACGCAGAUGUACCAAAACCAGUGAAGACUUCUUUUCCUGUUUGUCAGAUGAAGAUGAAGUGUAACUUAUGAUGUAGUAACUGAGUUGCUUAUUGUACAUUUCAUUUCUCUGAUAAACAGGGCGGAAUGUUAAGAGAAUAUGGUAUAUAUGUGAUCAGCUACAUGAAAUGUAUUAUCAUUAAGCACAUUUCUACAUGACUCUUUACCUAGUAACUUGUGUGCUGAACUUAUGCAGAUACUAACCGCAUCCUGUUGUUCUGAACAUUUAGAUGUAGAGAAGACCAAGCUCAGCUCUUUUACGAGAACAUGCAAAUGAAGAGAAGGGGAAAAACCCGCUGCUCUAAAUGACGUUGUUACCUUUGUACACACACACACACACACACACACACACACACACACACACACACA
This is a long non-coding RNA of Oreochromis aureus, 1190 nucleotides long. Lineage: Eukaryota; Metazoa; Chordata; Actinopteri; Cichliformes; Cichlidae. The record is from Ensembl.